This 253-nucleotide ribosomal RNA is filed under the name uncultured bacterium. RNAcentral's name for it is "partial 16S ribosomal RNA". It matches the Rfam family "Bacterial small subunit ribosomal RNA", at positions 524 to 776 of the family's 1533-position model. The record is from RNAcentral.
UACGUAGGGGGCAAGCGUUGUCCGGAAUCAUUGGGCGUAAAGAGCGUGUAGGCGGCCCGAUAAGUCCGCUGUGAAAACUAGAGGCUUAACCUCUAGACGUCGAUGGAAACCGUCUGGCUAGAGUCCGGAAGAGGAGAAUGGAAUUCCUGGUGUAGCGGUGAAAUGCGCAGAUAUCAGGAAGAACACCCGUGGCUAAGGCGGUUCUCUAGUACGGUACUGACGCUGAGACGCGAAAGCGUGGGGAGCGAACAGG